This 474-nucleotide ribosomal RNA is filed under the name Triticum aestivum (bread wheat). RNAcentral's name for it is "partial small subunit ribosomal RNA". The record is from RNAcentral. Lineage: Eukaryota; Viridiplantae; Streptophyta; Magnoliopsida; Poales; Poaceae.
AUGCUAGUUACUGAGAUAUUCUUUCCAUGCAUCAAGAAAUUAGACAAUGGCUUACUGUGGGCUUGAGAUUUCCUCCUUCCAUCUGGUGUAGUGAACUUUGUAGGUUCAUCUAACUUGGUUGCAGGUCCACAGGUAUACCCUGGAUCAGGGGCCUUCAGAGUGAAAUUCACAGGCAAUUCCAGGGUCUUGCUUGUGGUCCCUGAUCGACCAACUGAAACUUCAAAGGAGGCCACAACAUUAGCAAGGUCUUGUGCCAGUGAGCUAAGGACUCCUCCUUUGCAGCAGUUGGCCCUCUUCCUAUUGGGAGGUGCCCCGGGAAGCAGGUCGACUAUCUCCGGGUUCACCUUGCAGUUGUGAGGGAUACUCUCUUUGAAUUUGGAGCAAUCGCCUUGCUCUGUAGCCUGUCCACCUUGCACAUACCAGAUUACCUCCUUCUUUGACUACACCCACCCAAGCUUCCAUCCCGGUGGUUGA